CGAUUGCACGAAUGCGGAGAUCGACAAUAACACUGCAGACUGUUCCAGGGUUGUUGCUGUUUGGAAAGUGUAUACAUGUGUCAUUUUUAGCGAAGAUGAGCUUAGGUGGAAGUGACAUCAGCGUGACUGGCUCGUUGAAAUCUUCAAUAAGCGAGAAGGGAGAGUUUUGUGAGGAAUGUUAGCUGUAACAGAUGAUGGGUCAAGUGGAUUUAAAGCGGAGGCCAACCUCUACCAUCUGUACGUGUCCCUGUCGUGUCCAUAGGCCCACCUCGCCCUUAUACUUCGAGCACUGAAGGGGUUCCACGAUGUCAUCUCCUGUACUGUUGUGGAUUGGGUGUUGAGAAAUUCAAUGAUCAGCCCGAUCAACAACGGAGUGUACCGCUGUGGGUUUGCACGGAGCCAGGAGGCGUACGACAGCGCUGUCACUGAACCAUUCCAGGGACUGUGUAAGAUAAAGCAACAAGUUGUGCAGAAGAAAAGUACACUUUCUUAAUUUACGCCUUCAUGGGAAGUCCAAGUUAGAAUAGGUCCCCAGCAACCUCUGUUUGUCAUAAGAGGUGACCAAAUGGAUAGGGUGGUCAGACUCGGGGACUUUGUUGACUGUGCCUUUAUACAUGUAUACUCCGGCGACGGAUUGGAUCCUUGCUCAAAACAUCCGACACUGGUUUGGCGUUGGACUCGAAACAGUCUCUGUGUCCAAUAUGAAUGCCCAAGGCUAGUGUUUCACACAGGGAUCACAGCACUGCAACAGCUUAUGUUUGACCGUUCCGACACUCUGAUUGAUUUGACAGCGCCAGCCACAGAGUGAUCACAGCACUGCAACAGCUUAUGUUUGACCGUUCCGACACUCUGAUUGAUUUUGACAGCGCCAGCCAGAGUGAUCACAGUCUGAUGGGUGUUGAAGGGGACACAGGUCAGUAUGUGGGCAUCUUAUGAUGGGCCAUCCAAUCCUUUCAGUCGCCUUGUAUGACAGGCCUAGGAUGCAGGAGACCAACUGGGUAUUCUGUCGGAAUCGCCACAGGUCUGAACACUCACAAUAUAGUGCACAAUAUAGUACGUUUGAUGUGAAGAAACACACACAUUUCCAAGAGAACUAAUUGCAUAAGCUUGUGAGAUUAGAACUGUAUUGAACUAGAAGAUACAUUAUGCAGUUCAUGUCAAUGAUGAUGUUUCUCUCUGAUGGUGGAUUCCGUGAAGGGGCGAAAGAAUAUUAAUACAACACACCGCUGAGUAUCAGGAAUAAUACCAAUAAAACAUGUUGAUGAACAUA
This 1270-nucleotide long non-coding RNA is filed under the name Haliotis rufescens (red abalone). RNAcentral describes it as "uncharacterized LOC124116564, transcript variant X3". Lineage: Eukaryota; Metazoa; Mollusca; Gastropoda; Lepetellida; Haliotidae. The record is from RNAcentral.